CAGCACCUCAAGUGGUCAGGAUGAUUAUUGGGCCUAAAGCAUCCGUAGCCGGCGCUGUAAGUUUUCGGUUAAAUCUGUACGCUCAACGUACAGGCUGCCGGGAAUACUGCAGCGCUAGGGAGUGGGAGAGGUAGACGGUACUCGGUAGGAAGGGGUAAAAUCCUUUGAUCUAUUGAUGACCACCUGUGGCGAAGGCGGUCUACCAGAACACGUCCGACGGUGAGGGAUGAAAGCUGGGGGAGCAAUCCGGAUUAGAUACCCGUGUAGUCC
RNAcentral lists this ribosomal RNA (270 nucleotides) under uncultured archaeon. RNAcentral's name for it is "partial 16S ribosomal RNA". It matches the Rfam family "Archaeal small subunit ribosomal RNA", at positions 477 to 747 of the family's 1478-position model. The record is from RNAcentral.